This 415-nucleotide ribosomal RNA is filed under the name uncultured bacterium. RNAcentral's name for it is "bacterial SSU rRNA". It matches the Rfam family "Bacterial small subunit ribosomal RNA", at positions 28 to 433 of the family's 1533-position model. The record is from RNAcentral.
GAUGAACGCUAGCGACAGGCUUAACACAUGCAAGCCGAGGGGCAGCAUGAUUUGUAGCAAUACAGAUUGAUGGCGACCGGCGCACGGGUGAGUAACGCGUAUGCAACUUGCCCUUUACUCGGGGAUAGCCUUUCGAAAGAAAGAUUAAUACCCGAUAGCAUAAUGAUUCCGCAUGGUUUCAUUAUUAAAGGAUUCCGGUAAAGGAUGGGGAUGCGUUCCAUUAGGUUGUUGGUGAGGCAACGGCUCACCAAGCCUUCGAUGGAUAGGGGUUCUGAGAGGAAGGUCCCCCCACAUUGGAACUGAGACACGGUCCAAACUCCUACGGGAGGCAGCAGUGAGGAAUAUUGGUCAAUGGGCGCUAGCCUGAACCAGCCAAGUAGCGUGAAGGAUGAAGGCUCUAUGGGUCGUAAACUUC